UACGUAGGGUGCGAGCGUUAAUCGGAAUUACUGGGCGUAAAGCGUGCGCAGGCGGUUGUGCAAGACAGAUGUGAAAUCCCCGGGCUCAACCUGGGAAUUGCAUUUGUGACUGCACGGCUAGAGUGUGUCAGAGGGGGGGUAGAAUUCCACGUGUAGCAGUGAAAUGCGUAGAGAUGUGGAGGAAUACCGAUGGCGAAGGCAGCCCCCUGGGAUAACACUGACGCUCAUGCACGAAAGCGUGGGGAGCAAACAGG
Molecule: ribosomal RNA, 254 nt
Filed under: uncultured bacterium
Lineage: Bacteria
Description: partial 16S ribosomal RNA
Rfam family: Bacterial small subunit ribosomal RNA
Source: RNAcentral